GACGAACGCUGGCGGCGUGCUUAACACAUGCAAGUCGAACGGUAAGGCCCUUCGGGGUACACGAGUGGCGAACGGGUGAGUAACACGUGGGUGAUCUGCCCUGCACUUCGGGAUAAGCCUGGGAAACUGGGUCUAAUACCGGAUAGGACCACUGCCUGCAUGGGUGGUGGUGGAAAGCUUUUGCGGUGUGGGAUGGGCCCGCGGCCUAUCAGCUUGUGGGUGGGGUGGUGGCCCACCAAGGCGACGACGGGUAGCCGGCCUGAGAGGGUGACGGGCCACACUGAGACUGAGAUACGGCCCAGACUCCUACGGGAGGCAGCAGUGGGGAAGAUUGCACAAUGGGCGCAAGCCUGAUGCAGCGACGCCGCGUGAGGGAUGACGGCCUUCGGGUUGUAAACCUCUUUCAGCACCGACGAAGCGCAAGUGACGGUAGGUGCAGAAGAAGGACCGGCCAACUACGUGCCAGCCGCCGCGGUAA
Molecule: ribosomal RNA, 478 nt
Filed under: uncultured bacterium
Lineage: Bacteria
Description: partial 16S ribosomal RNA
Rfam family: Bacterial small subunit ribosomal RNA
Source: RNAcentral